UCCCGUCAAAAUAGGCCACCUUUCCCCUUCCCUCUGUCACGGCAUCGGCGAUAACCCUCUCUCCCUUCCGUCGCCGUGGAUUUCAACGUUUGCCGCCACCACCGACGACGGAAACGACAAUGUCUCCCACUCCCCUUUGCAGGGAUGUCGAAGAGCACUGAAAUCGCCGACAAGGCAACCAUCUUGAUGCAGGAUCAUGCCAAGCAUAUCUUUCGUAUUUGCAAGGAGAAGUUACCCUUUGGUAAGGGGUUGACUACAAUUGAGGUUAAGGAACUUCGGGAAGCACUUGAAUUCGCUGCCAAAGGAUUGGACCAGGACUCCCUUUUUGCCAAGAGGAUUUGGAUGCUACUGUUAAGGAGGAAUAUUUGGAGCACGACGAGAUGGUGGCUUUAGAGAGGAUUGAAAGCCCACUACCUUCUCCUAGUUCAGACUGCUUCCUAUCCCUUGAAGAGCACAUUGAGAAGUUUGGGCGUCGAUUACAACUCAGACCAGAUGCCUAGCUACUCCGACUAGGUUGUAGUCCAUGAUAUUUGGGACAAUGUGAACGAGAUAUAUGGUGUAAUGGUUUGUGUCAAUGUGAACUGAAUGUAUGAUGUAAUGGUAUGUCUUUUUAGUCUAUGUAAACUGAACCUAAUGGUUUGUGAGACUUUCAGUCUGAUUAUGGUAUGCAAAUUUCAGUCAUGUCUGUCUGUGGCACUUUUA
Molecule: long non-coding RNA, 702 nt
Organism: Zea mays
Lineage: Eukaryota; Viridiplantae; Streptophyta; Magnoliopsida; Poales; Poaceae
Exons: 2
Source: RefSeq, a predicted model, not a curated record